GGUAGGGAAAGGGUGGGGGAAGGAAUUCGCACAUACGCACCGGCCUGACACCGUCCCCGGUCGGACGCUGUCGAACAGGAGGGUACAGGCUUUGGCCAGCCUAAAAAAAAAAAAAAUGGAACCGGUGAAGCAGACGCUCCGAGCGAGGACAAGAAAAUGGGCAGAGAUUUGGAAAAAAAGAAGAGAGAUGCCAAAAAAAGGGGAAACAAUAUGGACUUGUCCAUGAAGUUACCAACAUUCAGGCCUGAAUUAGGAGAAGAUUAACUAAUUCUUCUACGCUGUUUGUUUUGCACUGGAAAUCUUUGGAUUAAAAGCUGCACCACAGAAGCACCAAUCAUUUACAUAGCUGAACAUGCUGUUGGAAAUGCCUGUACUUUCCUCAAAGGACACUGCAGUCUGUCAUAACAGGCAGAGGAAUAGCAACAUAAAGCAAGAUGUCUUAGCAAAAACAAAAAAUUUUCCUGAGUAUUCCUCAGUUCCCUGGAAGUUUUUCUAUACAAGUAUUGAAAUGAGUAAAUGCUAUGCAGAAAAGAAACUCAUGUUAAUUUCAAACAUUGGGGAUCAGAAGCAGAGGUGAAGGGACUAGAUUUGUGGCUUUUAAAAGAGAUUUGGCAAAG
Molecule: non-coding RNA, 617 nt
Organism: Pseudonaja textilis
Lineage: Eukaryota; Metazoa; Chordata; Lepidosauria; Squamata; Elapidae
Source: RefSeq, a predicted model, not a curated record